Zingiber officinale is the source of this 1056-nucleotide long non-coding RNA. RefSeq lists it as uncharacterized. The transcript is spliced from 5 exons. The record is from RefSeq and is a predicted model, not a curated record. Lineage: Eukaryota; Viridiplantae; Streptophyta; Magnoliopsida; Zingiberales; Zingiberaceae.
AUCCAAUAUAAUUAUUUUCUCCUCUCCUCAUUGUUUCGCCGAUUCUUCUCCCACUUCCCCCGAUCCACCGCGCCACCCCUCUCCCUUGUUCUCCUCUUCAUCGCCGUCAACCACCGACAGUGAGAUGCUGGUUGCCGCCGACCCCUUUCCGGUCACCCUUGCCUCCCCUUUGUCGAAGAUUUCGAUGCGGGAAGCCCGAAGUCGACGCCCUCUCAUGCCCUAGUCUCAAGCCACAACCGCCUCUUCGUCACCAGCCCUCUCCGGCCACGAGCAAGAAGCUGUCAGAGAACAUUGAUGACAUCCACGUCUAUUUCCCAGGGAUAAUCGGCCGCCACAGCAUCCUCUACUCGGCAUCGCCGUCACCGGAAGGGCUGAGACGAUGCCGGAGAUCUAUGUUUGUUUCUUUCCCCACGCUUGCGUCCCCAUGCAGCUACUGCUGCUGCCAUAAGCGAAGUCAUCGCUGCCUGUUCUUCCUCCCAGAGCCGAUCCUUCUCUUCUUCGGCAGCCGCAGCCACUACGGCCAGCCACAACCGUGGCCAGCUUCGCGACCACCAGCAUUCCUCAUUUGAUCUCAUCACCAGUCACCUUCUGUGAGGAUUCCACCACCGCCGGAGGAGGAGCUAACGGACAGGGUAGUAUUGAAGGAACACUUGGUUCAAACUUUGUUUAGAGAUGAGUAUGAUCUAUUACAUGAAGAUUAUGAGCUUUAUCUUCUUCCAAGCAUUUUGGAAUCCAAAAAGUUAGCUAAAUCUGGACAAGCGAAACAAAAGUAUGCAGAUUUGGAAUAUAAUGUCACAAAACAAGUUGAGAAGAUGAUAAGAGUUUGUGAGGCGAAAUCUAUGUCGGAGGAGAAGGAAAAGAAGAUUGGAUUGAGAAGAAGUUUGUUAGUUUAAGUUUUUUUUGUGUAGUUUAUUGUGAACUUGUUGGAUGUGUAUUUUAUCAUGAUCUGUAUGGAUUUUUAUGGUACUUUGUUGUAUGGUACAACAAACUUUGAGGUAUGGAACUUGUGUGUAUUUGAUAUGUUAGUUUAAGAUUUGAUAUUAUUUUGUAGAUUUA